Molecule: RNA transcript, 1712 nt
Organism: Odontomachus brunneus
Lineage: Eukaryota; Metazoa; Arthropoda; Insecta; Hymenoptera; Formicidae
Gene: DNApol-alpha50
Gene name: DNA primase small subunit
Exons: 8
Source: RefSeq, a predicted model, not a curated record
GGACCAUUUUACGUUCCCGCCAACAUAAUUCUUUACGCUGGGCUGUUUGACAUCUUGAGUUUUACACAUGAAAGUAAAUCACGCGACGUUAUUUGUGCAGAAAAAUCAACAGCAAAUUAGAAGGCUCCGAGUGUACAAUUUCCCAUUGACGUUUAUAGAGAUAUACACGGGAUGAGUGACGUAUCGGAUCUGCUCGACUUGUUGCCAGUUUAUUACUCGAGAUUGUUUCCAUUCGCUGAUUAUCACAGAUGGCUGAGUUAUGGAAACGCUGGCACUUUCAACAAAAGAGAAUUUUCGUUUACACUCUCAGACGAUAUUUACAUACGUUAUCAGUCUUUCAACGAUCAGAAGGGACUGUCGGACGAAAUUAAAAGGCUGCUGCCACAUAAGAUUGAUAUAGGAGCGGUUUACAAUGCCCAGCCUAAGGAUCAGAGGAGAGGUCCUAAUUUUCAGCCAGUUGAGAGGGAAUUAGUCUUCGACAUAGAUAUGACUGAUUAUGAUGAAGUGAGAACAUGUUGCAAAGGGGCUGACAUUUGUAGCAAAUGUUGGAAGUUCAUGUCACUUGCCUGCAAAAUAUUAGACAAUGCACUGAGAUUGGAUUUUGGCUAUAAGCAUAUCUUAUGGGUAUUUUCGGGCAGAAGAGGUAUUCAUUGUUGGGUAUGCGACUCUGCAGCACGUAGCUUAUCGGGGCCGGUUCGUGCAGCAGUCGCUGAAUAUUUGCAGAUUAUAGGUGGAGGUGAAUUCAUGAAGAAGAAGGUGCAUCUUACUGGCGAUAAGAUUCAUCACUCUAUUAAACGCGCUCUCGACAUAAUUGACCCCGUCUUCAUUGAAAUGUGUGUCAAAGAGCAGAAUAUGUUGGGCACGGAAGAGGGAAUCGAAAAGUUUCUGCCGAUACUGCCUAACGACGAGGACAGACAAGAGAUGAAGGCGUUGUUCAGUAAGGAAAGCACCAGCGAGGCAAGGUGGAACAUCUUCGUACAAUUUGUUGAAUCUAAACGGACAGGGGGGGACCGGAAAUGGUACUUGUACCGUCAUCUGGUAGAAGAGGUGAAAUUGCAAUAUUCUUACCCGAGAUUGGACAUCAAUGUGAGCAAAGGUUUAAACCAUUUACUGAAGUCGCCGUUCUGCGUCCAUCCGAAGACCGGCAAGAUUUGUAUACCAUUCAAUGCGAACGCGGUCGAUAAGUUUGAUCCCGACAAGGUUCCCACCAUAAUGACGUUGAUUGAAGAGAUCAACGUGUACGACGUGAAGGACAAGGCCGAGGAAGAGACUUAUGACCUGAAUAAGAAGCGUAUCAAGGAUUAUAAAAAGACGAGUUUGAACAAGUCACUCCACGUGUUUCAGGAAUUCUUACGACACUUGGAGGCCGAGAGACGCGAGCAGAGACUGAAAGGAAAACGCAAGAAGCGCAACUUGGUUCACCUAAAAAGAACAAAUCUUUUAAUUCGUAAAUUGUAGGAGCUUUGGAUGAUGUGAUUUCAAGGAGUAUAAAUUCUUUUAUUGAAUUCUUUUAUUGGAUUAUAUAUGGAUACGUUGUGGAGUUACAGCCGACAGCAUGGAAUUUUGAUGGAUCUCUGUGAUGAUCUUGAGACAUGAUGCUGCGGUUUGAUAUAGUAAUAUUAUUUAUAAGGCGUUUCGCAAUAUAUUUUCGUUACAUAAAGAAUAAAGAAAGAAAGAGAGACAGAGGAACUUUUCUGUACUCUCAACUCCCA